UACAGAGGGGGCAAGCGUUGUUCGGAAUUACUGGGCGUAAAGGGCGCGUAGGCGGCCUGCUAAGUCGGAUGUGAAAUCCCCAGGCUUAACCUGGGAACUGCAUCCGAUACUGGAUGGCUUGAAUCCGGGAGAGGGAUGCAGAAUUCCAGGUGUAGCGGUGAAAUGCGUAGAUAUCUGGAGGAAUACCGGUGGCGAAGGCGGCAUCCUGGACCGGCAUUGACGCUGAGUGAGCGAAAGCCAGGGGAGCAAACGGG
This 254-nucleotide ribosomal RNA is filed under the name uncultured bacterium. RNAcentral describes it as "partial 16S ribosomal RNA". It matches the Rfam family "Bacterial small subunit ribosomal RNA", at positions 524 to 776 of the family's 1533-position model. The record is from RNAcentral.